GACGAACGCUGGCGGCGUGCUUAACACAUGCAAGUCGAACGCUGAAGCACCAGCUUGCUGGUGUGGAUGAGUGGCGAACGGGUGAGUAAUACGUGAGUAACCUGCCCUUGACUCUGGGAUAAGCCCGGGAAACUGGGUCUAAUACUGGAUGCUACAUGUCACCGCAUGGUGGUGUGGAAAGGGUUUACUGGUCUUGGAUGGGCUCACGGCCUAUCAGCUUGUUGGUGAGGUAAUGGCUCACCAAGGCGACGACGGGUAGCCGGCCUGAGAGGGUGACCGGCCACACUGGGACUGAGACACGGCCCAGACUCCUACGGGAGGCAGCAGUGGGGAAUAUUGCACAAUGGGCGAAAGCCUGAUGCAGCGACGCCGCGUGAGGGAUGACGGCCUUCGGGUUGUAAACCUCUUUCAGCAGGGAAGAAGCCACAAGUGACGGUACCUGCAGAAGAAGCGCCGGCUAACUACGUGCCAGCAGCCGCUGUAA
RNAcentral lists this ribosomal RNA (484 nucleotides) under uncultured bacterium. Its description in RNAcentral is "partial 16S ribosomal RNA". It matches the Rfam family "Bacterial small subunit ribosomal RNA", at positions 28 to 523 of the family's 1533-position model. The record is from RNAcentral.